CUGUCUCUCAGCGAUCCAACUGUAGUGGGAACGGUCACUAGAUAUCCAGCGGCGAAAGAAGACCCUGUAGAGCUUCACUUUGGUCUAGUCUUGUAUAGUUCCUGCGGGGGUGUAGACUAGGUGGGAGAGCAAUCGAUUCUGAAAAACCACUACCCUGUUUGGAAUUAUGCUUACCUAUCACAAGGAAUAGGACUAGAUAGAAAGUUUGGCUGGGGCGGCACACCUUCGAAAGAGCAGCGAAGGUGUCAUAAGUUGAGCUCAGUGAGGACAGAAAUCUCACGUUGAGGAUAAGGCCAAAAGCUCAAUUUACUGUGCCUUUUUGUACUAGGAUCAGUUACGAAAGUAAGGCCUAACGAUCCCUAAAUAGCCUCAGGUGCGUGAGGAUUGGGGUGACAGACAAGUUACCUCCGGGACAACUGGCUUGUGGCUGCUAAGAGAUCAAAUCAACGCAGCUUUUUGAUUCUUCGAUGUCGGCUCUUCCUAUCCUAGUGAUGUACAAGUUGCUAAGGGUCGGAUUGUUCACCCGUAUUAGGGAUCGUGAGCUGGGUUUAGACCGUCGUGAGCCAGGUUUGUUUUAUCCUACUGGAUAUAGCAUCAUGAUAGUAGAUUGAUUUAGUACGAGAGGAACUGUUGAUUAUGGCCUCUGGUUAGCGAUUAUCGGAAACGGUAUGUCGCGCAGCUACGCCGUCUGGGAUAAUGGCUGAAAGCCUCUUAAGCCAGAAGCCCAUCUAGAAAGUGAUGCACGUGAUGUUGGACCGAUACGAAUAAUCAUACUCAAAAGGUCCGCUUCAUAGGUAACCCAAUGUAGAAGACAUUGUGUGAACGAAGGUACUGUAAGCAGUGGAGUGGCAUUACGUCCACGACCUGUUGAGGUUCAGCUUCGCUUCUAGGUUUCC
RNAcentral lists this non-coding RNA (896 nucleotides) under Trichomonas vaginalis G3. Its description in RNAcentral is "Eukaryotic large subunit ribosomal RNA". It matches the Rfam family "Eukaryotic large subunit ribosomal RNA", at positions 2349 to 3401 of the family's 3401-position model. The record is from Rfam by way of RNAcentral. Lineage: Eukaryota; Parabasalia; Trichomonadida; Trichomonadidae.